GAGCUAUAGGUGCAGCUGCAUACCCACUUGAGGAACGAGCCAGACUGUUUGAAGAGAUAUAUUCAUGGUGACUAAGAUUUCAGUACAAUGGACAGGUGAUGCAUAACGGUGUCUUUGGAUGUACAUCAGAAUUACUGGCUUCUCUUAGUGAUCAUUAUGAGGCUUUCAUUUGAGUUUUCUAAUGCCCUUGCCAUUUCAGAACGAGGAAUCAAAAUUGCACUAUAUUUCUCAUAGUACAUAUUACAAUAUUAAAACAUAUACUCGUAUGUAUGUGAUCCUGUACAUGCCACAGGUGCAAGAUCGUCCUGCCUUGAUAUUUCUCAGUUUGUGGCUUUGUAUGGUUACCUUAUAAUUUGAAAGGGUCAUAUAUUCAUAUCACUAGAAUGAUAGCUAUAUGGAUAGGGCAAUCAACAUCUGGAUAAUCUUUCUGUACAUGUCAACAUGACUUAUGAGACCAAGACAUCUGUUAUAAUGAUGUGAAGGUCGCCUGAACACCUGUUUUUGUAAUGGUUCAUGACACCUCAAUCAAACUGUUGUUCCACAAUAUUAGUUUUUGUAGUUUUUCAUCACGUUGGCACCUUAGUAAGCCAAAUAGGUAAUCAGCAUGAUACUUUGUACAAAAAUGAACAUUAUGAUAGUUCUCAUAAUGAGCAUCGGGCCCUUGUUACGAUGAUAGUACAUGUUAACUAUUAGUUGACUUCAUAUAUUAGGGGAAAAUGGAAUUGAUUAGGUGCAUUAACGAAAUAUCAAAUAUGAGAAGGCUUUAUAAUUCAUGCCUACUAGGACUUUCCCAGUAUUAAAAUCAAUCUUGAUUGGAUAUGUUGGCAGGUUGGCAGUAGAUAGAUUCCGAUUUGUUGAUAACGGAUUAUUAUUAUUCUUUCUUCUCUGGUGUAGCAGCAGCUGGGUAUGCAUUAUUGAACUCCUACCGUCCUAUGCUGUUACACCACAUAUUUUUUGAAUUAAAACAAUAAAACAUAUACUAAUACCUGGUCCUAGACAAGCCACAGUGUUGUGGGUGACACAUAUAAUGACGGGUGCAUCAAAGCAUAUAGCUGAUGUGGCAAUGGGUUGAUAAUUUGGAAGACCACAGAUGAAAAAGGAGAACUCGUGUCCAGAUCCUGGGAAUUCAUUGACUUUUGACUUCUGUAGACUCUUUUCUAUUUCUGGAAAGGAUCAGAUUUUAAGGCUAUUAUAUUAUAGAAAGCUUCACGUGGGACAUGGCCCGCAUCUCCCUGCUUUAAUUCUACCACUGGACUUGACACCGCUAGCCGCAAAGUAUUGUCUCAUGUUUGACUCUUGAAUAGUUAAAUUAUACAUGCUCCUACUGCCUUAAUUUAAUGGGUUAACUUUUUUUUUGCCUACUAUCUUUUUCCACGUUGAUGAGAAGGUUUAACCGCCUCUGGACAAUGAGUUUUGGACUAUUUAGCCAACUUAAGUUCUUUUAGAUAAGAUGGAGCCAAACCAGCUAUUAUAUAAAUAGCAGAGAGUUGUUGAAUAAAUAGUAGACUCGUUUACAAAACAUAAAAUCUUUUCUAUUUUCGAUACCCUUGCUUGCUUCUUUUAAUUUUAGUAAUCAAGAAGCUGGUUUUACACAAUUCUUGCUUCUCUUAUAGCAUCUUUUUUAUGUUCAUAAGUCGGAAACGUCUAGAGCAAGGUGGCUAGCUGGUAUCAGCACUUUCCAUUUAUAACUAACCACAUACUUGAUUGCAUUUCGCCGGCUGGCUUGAUACUAUCCAGAUUUUCCAGACAAGGGUUUGAUUCUUGUUUUUUCUAGUGGGUUUUGAAAUUUCCAUUACUCAUCUAAUGCCGUUAUUAGAGACAACGUGUCAUAUAAAUUCAACAAUAUACUUAUAACGUCUGGUCCUGGAUAUGCCACAAGAUACAAGUCAAUAUGGGUGAGGCAUAGAGUGAUGUUUGCAUUAUGGCAAUAGCUGAGGUGGACAAUGUUGGACCAAUUGCAAGACUGCACGUAUGCAAAAGAGAUCUUGGAAUCUGAAUAAUUUCUGUUUCCACGUCAUCAAGUAUUGUGGGACCAUGAUGUUUUCCAUCUAAGACACAUGCGUAGGUUUAAAACUUAUGAAAUACAUAUUGGAAAUUCCUUGCCAAUGAGGUGGAGCAUGAGAAUUUUCUCUAGCAUUUAGCUGGUUUCUUUCAGAACGGUAGUGAUACUUCUACUGUCAGUCAUGUCCUUGGAUUGACUGUGUUGGUGAUGUGGUUAAUCUCUACUGGACAAUGAAGAGACAAUACUUCUGAGUCCAAUUAUCAGUGUUUAAAAAAGACAUUCAUUUUUCAUACCCGUGGCUUUGCUUAUGUAAAAUUUAACAAUACACGUGGGUUUGUAAAAAAAAACUUAAAUAAAACCCAAUGAGGGUCAUUUGUAUUCUUCUUCACAGCUAUUAAAAUCCACAACCACUAAUUUAGGGCUAAUUUACUUCGUCUCAUAGAUUAAGAAGCGAAUGAUCGUGGUGAUUCCAAAGGUCGAAGUGGCUUUCGUCAAUUAAGAUGCGGAUGAUAGUUACAAUUCAAAAGGUGAAAGUGGCUUUCGUUAAUUUCAAAUCUCAUUUACUCAUUUGCUAGAUAUGAUGGUUUAUUGGAAGCUAUGGUUAACUAUAGUGGUAUAUUUUGUCCAAAACCAUCAAUGUAUGCAGAUGGACUAAGGUCUACGAUACUGAUUUUGGGGAGAAUUGGAAUUUACUAAUCUGGUUACUUGUGAUGAUAGUGAAUUCGCAAAAGGGAGAUGAGAUUGAAUUGUCACCUCCUGAUCAUCUUGAUGUUGAUGAUGAUUUCGAUAAUGCUGUGAGUUGUGUAACAAGAAGACAUGCAUAAGGGUAAAGAGAAUGCUGUGAUUGUAGAAUCUCAUGCUGACUAUACGACGAGAAUUCAAAUCGAAGUGAUAACAAUGUUGAUCAUUAAUUUAAUAUAUACGACGAGAAUUCGUCUAAUGUGGAUGUAUUCUUAGCCAUUUCCAUUAAGUUGUCCUUGUGAACCAGAGUAGUUUAACUAUUAAGCGAUCGUACUCUAUUUUAGAAUCAUGUUUGUUAAAGGAAAUGCAAUUCACAUAAGUACGGUAAAAGUGUUUUGAGAAA
Molecule: long non-coding RNA, 3086 nt
Organism: Erigeron canadensis
Lineage: Eukaryota; Viridiplantae; Streptophyta; Magnoliopsida; Asterales; Asteraceae
Exons: 9
Source: RefSeq, a predicted model, not a curated record